CCUACGGGUGGCAGCAGUGAGGAAUAUUGGUCCAUGGACGGAAGUCUGAACCAGCCAUGCCGCGUGCAGGAAGACGGCUCUAUGAGUUGUAAACUGCUUUUGUACAAGGGUAAACCUGAAUACGUGUAUGCAGCUGAGAGUACUGUACGAAUAAGGACCGGCUAAUUCCGUGCCAGCAGCCGCGGUAAUACGGGAGUUCCGGGCGUUAUCCGGAUUUAUUGGGUGGAAAGGGCGCGUAGGCGGUUCGUUAAGCGUGCCGUGAAAUUUUGGGGCUCAACCAUGAGAGUGCGGCGGGAACUGGAGACCUUGAGGGCGCGGAAGGCAGGCGGAAUUCGUGGUGUAGCGGUGAAAUGCGUAGAUAUCACGAAGAACACCGAUUGCGAAGGCAGCCUGCCGGAGCGUUACUGACGCUGAAGCUCGAAAGCGCGGGUAUCGAACAGGAUUAGAUACCCCAGUAGUC
RNAcentral lists this ribosomal RNA (460 nucleotides) under uncultured bacterium. RNAcentral's name for it is "partial 16S ribosomal RNA". It matches the Rfam family "Bacterial small subunit ribosomal RNA", at positions 338 to 795 of the family's 1533-position model. The record is from RNAcentral.